Molecule: ribosomal RNA, 253 nt
Filed under: uncultured prokaryote
Description: partial 16S ribosomal RNA
Rfam family: Bacterial small subunit ribosomal RNA
Source: RNAcentral
ACAGAGGGUGCAAGCGUUAAUCGGAAUUACUGGGCGUAAAGCGUGCGUAGACGGUUAUUUAAGUCGGGUGUGAAAGCCCCGGGCUCAACCUGGGAAUUGCAUUCGAGACUGAAUAGCUAGGGUGCGGAAGAGGGAAGCGGAAUUUCCGGUGUAGCGGUGAAAUGCGUAGAUAUCAGGAGGAAUACCAGUGGCGAAGGCGGCUUUCUGGGCCUACCCUGACGCUGAGGAGCGAAAGCGUGGGGAGCAAACCGGA